GGGUAAAGGCCCGAAAAGAUCCACUGCAAUAACUUUAAACCGCUGAGCUGGAACUGGAGUCUGGAGUAGUCCCGCUCGCUUAAAGUUAGACGGCUGGUACCGCUGGCACUCUAUACA
This is a non-coding RNA of Bombyx mori (domestic silkworm), 117 nucleotides long. The record is from RefSeq and is marked provisional. NCBI's taxonomy places the organism in Eukaryota, Metazoa, Arthropoda, Insecta, Lepidoptera, Bombycidae.